RNAcentral lists this ribosomal RNA (473 nucleotides) under uncultured bacterium. RNAcentral's name for it is "bacterial SSU rRNA". It matches the Rfam family "Bacterial small subunit ribosomal RNA", at positions 355 to 825 of the family's 1533-position model. The record is from RNAcentral.
UGGGGAAUUGUUCGCAAUGGGCGCAAGCCUGACGACGCAACGCCGCGUGGAGGAUGAAGACCUUCGGGUCGUAAACUCCUUUCGAUCGAGACGAAUGGCCUCCGGGUGAACAAUCCGGAGGAGUGACGGUACCGAGAGAAGAAGCCCCGGCUAACUACGUGCCAGCAGCCGCGGUAAUACGUAGGGUGCGAGCGUUAAUCGGAAUUACUGGGCGUAAAGCGUGCGCAGGCGGCGACAUAAGACAGAUGUGAAAUCCCCGGGCUCAACCUGGGAACUGCGUUUGUGACUGUGUUGCUAGAGUGUAGCAGAGGGGGGUGGAAUUCCACGUGUAGCAGUGAAAUGCGUAGAGAUGUGGAGGAACACCGAUGGCGAAGGCAGCCCCCUGGGUUAACACUGACGCUCAUGCACGAAAGCGUGGGGAGCAAACAGGAUUAGAUACCCCAGUAGUCCCUGAGCGGGCUGGCAAGGCGCAU